RNAcentral lists this ribosomal RNA (265 nucleotides) under uncultured prokaryote. Its description in RNAcentral is "partial 16S ribosomal RNA". It matches the Rfam family "Bacterial small subunit ribosomal RNA", at positions 524 to 788 of the family's 1533-position model. The record is from RNAcentral.
UACGUAGGUGGCGAGCGUUAUCCGGAAUUAUUGGGCGUAAAGAGCGCGCAGGUGGUUGAUUAAGUCUGAUGUGAAAGCCCACGGCUUAACCGUGGAGGGUCAUUGGAAACUGGUCGACUUGAGUGCAGGAGAGGAAAGCGGAAUUCCUAGUGUAGCGGUGAAAUGCGUAGAUAUUAGGAGGAACACCAGUGGCGAAGGCGGCUUUCUGGACUGUAACUGACACUGAGGCACGAAAGCGUGUGGAGCAAACAGGAUUAGAUACCCU